RNAcentral lists this ribosomal RNA (491 nucleotides) under Salmonella enterica. RNAcentral describes it as "bacterial SSU rRNA". It matches the Rfam family "Bacterial small subunit ribosomal RNA", at positions 269 to 752 of the family's 1533-position model. RNAcentral also lists the same sequence under 1 other name. The record is from RNAcentral. Lineage: Bacteria; Pseudomonadati; Pseudomonadota; Gammaproteobacteria; Enterobacterales; Enterobacteriaceae.
CAAGGCGACGAUCCCUAGCUGGUCUGAGAGGAUGACCAGCCACACUGGAACUGAGACACGGUCCAGACUCCUACGGGAGGCAGCAGUGGGGAAUAUUGCACAAUGGGCGCAAGCCUGAUGCAGCCAUGCCGCGUGUAUGAAGAAGGCCUUCGGGUUGUAAAGUACUUUCAGCGGGGAGGAAGGUGUUGUGGUUAAUAACCGCAGCAAUUGACGUUACCCGCAGAAGAAGCACCGGCUAACUCCGUGCCAGCAGCCGCGGUAAUACGGAGGGUGCAAGCGUUAAUCGGAAUUACUGGGCGUAAAGCGCACGCAGGCGGUCUGUCAAGUCGGAUGUGAAAUCCCCGGGCUCAACCUGGGAACUGCAUUCGAAACUGGCAGGCUUGAGUCUUGUAGAGGGGGGUAGAAUUCCAGGUGUAGCGGUGAAAUGCGUAGAGAUCUGGAGGAAUACCGGUGGCGAAGGCGGCCCCCUGGACAAAGACUGACGCUCAGGU